UUUCCGUAGGUGAACCUGCGGAAGGAUCAUUCAUAAUAAGUGUUUUAUGGCUCUUUUUUAAAUCCAUAUCCGCGUUGUGUGCAAUGUCAGGGUUGAUUUUUCUCUCGAGAGGAUCAGCCCCAAACAUGAACUAUAUCUCAACUCUUUGUCUGAAAAAUAUUAUGAAUAAAAACAAUUCAAAAUACAACUUUCAACAACGGAUCUCUUGGCUCUG
Molecule: unclassified non-coding RNA, 214 nt
Filed under: plant metagenome
Description: partial contains small subunit ribosomal RNA, internal transcribed spacer 1, and 5.8S ribosomal RNA
Source: RNAcentral